UACGUAGGUGGCAAGCGUUGUCCGGAUUUACUGGGCGUAAAGAGCGCGCAGGCGGUCGGAUAAGUCGAAUGUGAAAGCCCCCGGCUCAACUGGGGAGGGUCAUUCGAUACUGUUCGACUCGAAGGCAGGAGAGGGAAGUGGAAUUCCCGGUGUAGUGGUGAGAUGCGUAGAUAUCCGGAGGAACACCGGUGGCGAAGGCGGCAUCCUGGACCGGCAUUGACGCUGAGGCGCGAAAGCCAGGGGAGCAAACGGG
RNAcentral lists this ribosomal RNA (253 nucleotides) under uncultured bacterium. Its description in RNAcentral is "partial 16S ribosomal RNA". It matches the Rfam family "Bacterial small subunit ribosomal RNA", at positions 524 to 776 of the family's 1533-position model. The record is from RNAcentral.